This is a long non-coding RNA of Zalophus californianus (California sea lion), 1275 nucleotides long. The record is from Ensembl. Lineage: Eukaryota; Metazoa; Chordata; Mammalia; Carnivora; Otariidae.
CCCGCCCCGCGGCCGCCCACCAACUUGGUGGGGCCCCGGCGGGGCCCUCGGGCCCUCCCGCCCGGCCGGCGCCAGACGUGCGCCGCGCAGCCCCCGGAGCCCCGCGGGCAAAGUUGGCGGGGCUCCCCCGGCCCCCGGCCGGCGCCUCGCUCAGGCCCCGGGCUGCGACCCCAGUCCCUGCGCGCGACCCCGGCUCGACCCCUGGACCCGGGCCAGGACCCCCGCCCCCGGCCCCGCCCGCGACCACUCACCUGUCCGCGGAGGAGGGCGUGCCCGCCGGCUGGCCCGGGCCGGAGCCCGGGGUGGGGCCGGGAUGGGGGGGGAGCGGGUGACGACGGGGCGAUCGAGGCGGCGACAGAGCCUGAGGCGACCGAGUCUGAGGCGACUGAGGCGGCGGGAGCUGCUCCUCGCGCUCCAGCCGAGGCGCUGCGCGCGGCGCGGGCCCACCCCCUCCGAGCUGCUGACCAAUCCCCCGCCGCCCGCCGCCGCUGGCCCCGCCCCCCGCCCAAGGACUGGGCCUCGCGAAAGCGGGCGCGGCGGGCCAAUCGAAAGGAGGAACGGCGACGGAUGAGGCCAAUCGGAACCCGGGAAGCUCUACGGAAAGAAACCAAUGAGCGUCGCGGGGGGUGGGAGGGAGGUGGGGAAGCAGGACCAAUGGUGAUGGGGGCGUGACGGAAAUUAGGGCGGGGUCUUGGGCUUCCGAGUCACUGGUCGUGGGCGGGGCCGCGAGCCUGUCACUGGGCAGGGGCGGUGCCAGACUUGAGGCAGCGCCCAGGGUGGGGCGGGGCCAUAAGUGAAAGGGGCGGGGUCUCGGGCGAAAGGGUCACUGGCUGGGGCGGGGGCAGGGGCGGGAACCACAAGUGGGCGGGUCCUAGAACUGGGGCGAGGCCACAAAUGGGGCAGGGUCUCGGAGGCGCUGGGCAGGGGUCCUGUAGCAGUCUACAUAGCGGGCAGUCUUCCGGCCUGCGGGGCCUGGUCCUGAGACCCCGCCCCUCUCGGGCCGCCGGCCUUGCCCAAGUCGCCCCGCCCCGGGCGAGCCUGCCCAGCACCUGUCCCCGCCCCUCAGCAGGUGCCCGGCCUUCCUGCCGGCCUUGGAAUCCAUGUGCCACUCUGCGGGUCCCGACGCCCCGGACGCGGCUGCGCUUCUGCCUCGACGUUCGCAGGCGAGGCAAUCAAGGCGGCUCCUCUCGUAACCCCCUGGCUGAAGGAGCAGCUCCUAACCCGUCACGGGCCACGUCCCUGGCCCGUGACUGGGACGGGGGUGGGAGGAGGUGA